RNAcentral lists this small nucleolar RNA (129 nucleotides) under Carlito syrichta (Philippine tarsier). RNAcentral describes it as "Small nucleolar RNA SNORA31 (ENSTSYG00000020643.2)". It matches the Rfam family "Small nucleolar RNA SNORA31". Rfam says of the family: ACA31 (SNORA31) belongs to the H/ACA class of snoRNAs which are thought to guide the sites of modification of uridines to pseudouridines. ACA31 is predicted to guide the pseudouridylation of U3713 in 28S rRNA and U218 in 18S rRNA. This family includes the mouse homologue snoMBI-161. Lineage: Eukaryota; Metazoa; Chordata; Mammalia; Primates; Tarsiidae. The record is from Rfam by way of RNAcentral.
CUGUAUCCACUGAUAGACCUUGAACAGUUGCUGUUACUCUUUGGGUUUGCACUAGUAUGCAAAAGAAAGAAAUCCCUAUGAUUUCUGCUUAUCUUUGUGGUAACCCAGAUUAAAUUGGAUAAUACAUCU